AGCCAUAAUAUCUUGCCCUUCUGAAAUUUACCUACCUGAGGACUGCAACUGGACCCCCAGUUCAGUUUCUGUUGAACACCUAGUUCAAUCUGUCAAGUACCCAAUUUGACCUCUGGAUCCCAAUCCAGAAAUCAGACCUUGUCUGGAAACUAGUACACUAUACUGGACCUAGUAUAGUUCCUGUUGGAAACAGAUGAACUUGUCAAAUACCCAGAUUAACCGCUGAAUCAAAUGAGAAAUAAAAUUACUCAAAUAAACUCAGAGAGCUCAGGACACAAGUUGCAAGCCUGAUAUCUGAGAGGGACUUACCUAGUGACUCACAAAUGCAGGAAGAAACCAGUGAACACAAUGGGCUUAAUGGGUACCUAUGCCUGGUCACCCAUUGCUCUUAGGGAUCUUUGGGGGAGAUUCUACUUUAUAUCCUACUUCUGACACCAAACUGUUAAAGAAAAAUCUAAGGCACAAUACAAUUUUAAAGAGUUCAUUUGAGUAAGAAGCAAUUCAUGAAUUGGGUGACACCAAACCAAAAGAGGUCUAAUGUUUUAAUGACAGAAAGUCAGAGACAGGUAUUAAUUGGGAAAAUGUGGAAAAAAAUAAAGAAAUUUGAUAGGUUUGCAGUUACAUAAUUGUCUUUUGGGUGAGGUACCUUACUGAAGUGUUCUUAGUCACAUAAUUAUGUUAGUUGGCUGCUUACGAUUGGCUAGGGUUAAAUCUUAUUUCUGUCUAACAUAAACAUUUACCAGAAAUGAUCCAAGUUAAGUAUUACCUAUUUUUAGUUACAAUCCAACUUGAGUUUCACUUAUGUUUGCAGUUUAAGCAAUGAUAAGGCUAUUUCUAAGGCCUGGGUGGCUUUGUUUGCUCAGGAGUUUUCAGGCCCAGUCUCCAUUUUAAUUUUGCAUUAACAAAGGCAAAAA
RNAcentral lists this long non-coding RNA (914 nucleotides) under Homo sapiens (human). RNAcentral describes it as "PREDICTED lncRNA (TCONS_00021592)". Lineage: Eukaryota; Metazoa; Chordata; Mammalia; Primates; Hominidae. The record is from RNAcentral.